GACGAACGCUGGCGGCGUGCUUAACACAUGCAAGUCGAACGGAAAGGCCCUGCUUUUGUGGGGUGCUCGAGUGGCGAACGGGUGAGUAACACGUGAGUAACCUGCCCUUGACUUUGGGAUAACUUCAGGAAACUGGGGCUAAUACCGGAUAGGAGCUCCUGCUGCAUGGUGGGGGUUGGAAAGUUUCGGCGGUUGGGGAUGGACUCGCGGGUUAUCAGCUUGUUGGUGGGGUAGUGGCUUACCAAGGCAUUGACGGGUAGCCGGCCUGGGAGGGUGACCGGGCACAAGGGGACUGAGAGAGGGCCCAGACGCGUACGGGAGGCAUCAGGGGAGAAUAUUGCACAAUGGGGGGAAGCCUGAGACAGCAACGCCGCGUGCGGGAUGACGGCCUUCGGGUUGUAAACCGCUGUCGCCUGUGACGAAGCGUGAGUGACGGUAAUGGGUAAAGAAGCACCGGCUAGCUACGUG
Molecule: ribosomal RNA, 468 nt
Filed under: uncultured bacterium
Lineage: Bacteria
Description: partial 16S ribosomal RNA
Rfam family: Bacterial small subunit ribosomal RNA
Source: RNAcentral